RNAcentral lists this ribosomal RNA (419 nucleotides) under uncultured microorganism. Its description in RNAcentral is "bacterial SSU rRNA". It matches the Rfam family "Bacterial small subunit ribosomal RNA", at positions 9 to 429 of the family's 1533-position model. The record is from RNAcentral.
GAGUUUGAUCCUGGCUCAGAUUGAACGCUGGCGGCAUGCCUUACACAUGCAAGUCGAACGGCAGCAUGAUCUAGCUUGCUAGAUCGAUGGCGAGUGGCGAACGGGUGAGUAAUACAUCGGAACGUGCCCUGUAGUGGGGAUAACUAGUCGAAAGAUUAGCUAAUACCGCAUACGACCUGAGGGUGAAAGUGGGGGACCGCAAGGCCUCAUGCUAUAGGAGCGGCCGAUGUCUGAUUAGCUAGUUGGUGGGUAAAGGCCCACCAAGGCGACGAUCAGUAGCUGGUCUGAGAGGACGAUCAGCCACACUGGGACUGAGACACGGCCCAGGACUCCUACGGGAGGCAGCAGUGGGGAAUUUGGACAAUGGGCGAAAGCCUGAUCCAGCAAUGCCGCGUGUGUGAAGAAGGCCUCGGUGUAAG